Engraulis encrasicolus (European anchovy) is the source of this 808-nucleotide long non-coding RNA. RefSeq lists it as uncharacterized. NCBI's taxonomy places the organism in Eukaryota, Metazoa, Chordata, Actinopteri, Clupeiformes, Engraulidae. The record is from RefSeq and is a predicted model, not a curated record. The transcript has 3 exons.
GCUUGCACCAUGAAGAUACCGUGCUGCCUAUUUGUUUCGCUGAUGGCUGUCAUACUUGUGCUGUGCCAGGAGGUCCAGGGAAGUACAAAUGACCAAUCUGUGAUAUCUCAGUUUGCCUCUUUUGGGAUUGUUUCCAAACUUGAGGAGAGAAGUGCUGAGAUACCAACCGCACAGGGUGGGAAUAAUCCCUUCAUGAAUAUCAUAGCUCGGAAAAGAAGAGCAGCUCCCUCCGUCGCCAAAAAGCCUAGCCCUUUCUGUACAGGAUGUUUUUCUGUCAUCGGAGACCCAACAACAUCGCAAUAGUGACCAAGAACCCUCGUGGAUACAUCAAGAUGUUGACAGAUGAAUGAAGUGUUAGUGAAGUGAAGUGAAGUGAAGUGAAACACACAUAUGUGUGGUUACUGUUUAUAAAAAAAAACACAAAAAAAACAAUGCAGCUAAGGACUACAACUGACCAUUUUGAAAUUGAAAUUCACAUUCUCCAACCACCACACAGGCCAGCAAUGAUGAUGAUGAUGAUGCGAUGGGACCCGUGCUCUCCAUGUUAUUACGUUUUUUUACGCUUUACCACAAUUACCUCACCUGACAGUCCUGAUUCCGCCAGGCCGUGUUUUAAGAGGUGGGUGUAGACCUGAGUGGUUAUUUUACAUCCAGGUGAUUACAGCCCCAGCGUGUCAUUAGGCACCACCACAUAGAAUUAUCCCAUUACAGGGCUAACCUCCCACACGUCACGGGGCCCCCCAAAGGCAUUAUGAUGACAGGACAGCGCUUCGAGACAAGCCAGCUGGGCUGGACUGCUGCGUCACAA